AUGUCAAAGCCAGAACAGGGUGAAGAGAGAAGGGUACUUCCGAAUCCAAAACCAAGCAUGCCAUCAGUGGGAAUGGGCUUCUCUCCUGGCUCUGCCAAAGGUCAGUAUAACCAAGCACCCAUAGAAAGAAGCCACACGCCUGCUGUGGGGAAGACGAGAGGCGAUGCUGGCCUCAAGGUGUUCCUCUGCUCUAUCAAUACUGGGUGCCAAGGCAAUGCAACAACGCCGCCUUUAAUGCCCAGAGAUUCACAUGACUCAAGAGGUUCUGUGCUAACAUAGCCCCUUGGGUGGUGAGGUGACACAGCUCUGCCGUGGGGGAUACACUUUGAUGGCUCAAGAGUCACAGGCAGCCAAAGAGGCACAGGUUGACUGUUCCUGUCCGACCACUAACCUUAUGGUGGCACUGAGUCCAAACUAGCCCAUCCUGGGAAGAGGCAGGGCUUAUUAGCUACAUGUUGUCUUAACAGCUGUACUGCUUCCAGACUAGAACUGCACUGUGACCACCAUCUGGGAGCAUGGACAAAGAAGCUAGGGUCCACUGGCAAGGCUGUUCCCACCACCUGUCAUUUCCAGGAAUUUUGCCUACAUAAUGAUUUGGUCAAAAGCAAGGAUCUGAAUCUUUUACCCUUCCUUGAGCUGAGUAGUACUUAUUCUCUGUUCUUAUGACUUACAGAUGCAGCCCAAUGUGGUAAGUGCCUUAGAAUUCAAGGGAAAAAGUUUUGAUGAAAGUAAAUAUCAUAACGUAAAAUAAUUGUAGGUGCUUAUAGGUAAAUUAUACAUAUAGGUAUAAUAUACAUGCAUAAUUAUAUGCACACAUCUCAUCUUGUAGUUAACGAUACAAACAAUAUAAAAACAGAUCAAAAUUAUGUUUAGCUCCCCCCUGUAGUUAUACUGCUUGCAAUUAAAUGCAAUCUGUAAAUAUCAAGGGAUUGCCCAUUUCAACCAUAUUAUAGCUUUCAAUUGUUAGAACAGGAAAAAGUAUUACUUUCUACCACAUCAAAUUUAAUAAUAAUUACCAUGUUGGAAAGAACAAUCAAAAAUCCUUUCCUUGAGUUAGCAGAAGGAGAGAGCUAAUAUCUUCUAGCAAAUCCUAUUAUGAUUAUUAUAUAGGACUCAGGGUUUGAUUCAUUCAUAGAUUACACAGAUAUUACUAAAUAAGACUUCAGGCAACCAUAUGUGAGCUUUUGUAAAUUGUGAUCAGGCUUCAGUGUAAUGGCUGCCAGGUAAUAGAUUAAUGAGCUGUCACUGUUAAAUUCAUUUUCUUCUCCUUAUCAUUUACUGAGCAGGUGGCCUCCAACUCUACCAGCCUGUGCGCACAGCUACGAAAGCCUUGUAGCCUUUCACAGAAAAAAGGAAGCAGCAGCAGCAGCAGUUUUCAUUGAUCAGGAAUAACUUGUUGUUCGUGGAUUCUGACCUCUCAUCUCCAGCACCUAGGCAGACUCCAUCUGUUGGUGUUACUGAUCCUGCUCAUUUUUUGCAGGCUGGGGUGAGAUGAUGAUAAAUACACUGAAAUAGGAUAAACCUGCUGUAACAUGAAAUUAAGCAAGGCCUUGAAAUAAAG
This is a long non-coding RNA of Struthio camelus australis, 1561 nucleotides long. The record is from Ensembl. Lineage: Eukaryota; Metazoa; Chordata; Aves; Struthioniformes; Struthionidae.